RNAcentral lists this ribosomal RNA (459 nucleotides) under uncultured bacterium. RNAcentral's name for it is "partial 16S ribosomal RNA". It matches the Rfam family "Bacterial small subunit ribosomal RNA", at positions 338 to 795 of the family's 1533-position model. The record is from RNAcentral.
CCUACGGGAGGCAGCAGUGAGGAAUAUUGGUCAAUGGUCGGGAGACUGAACCAGCCAAGCCGCGUGAGGGAUGAAGGUACAGAGUAUCGUAAACCUCUUUUGCCAGGGAACAAAGGCGGGGACGUGUCCCCGGAUGAGUGUACCUGAAGAAAAAGCAUCGGCUAACUCCGUGCCAGCAGCCGCGGUAAUACGGAGGAUGCGAGCGUUAUCCGGAUUUAUUGGGUUUAAAGGGUGCGCAGGCGGUCUGUUAAGUCAGCGGUAAAAGCCCGGGGCUCAACCCCGGCCCGCCGUUGAAACUGGCAGUCUCGAGUUGGAGAGAAGUAUGCGGAAUGCGCGGUGUAGCAGUGAAAUGCAUAGAUAUCGCGCAGAACUCCGAUUGCGAAGGCAGCAUGCCGGCUCCACACUGACGCUGAGGCACGAAAGCGUGGGUAUCGAACAGGAUUAGAUACCCCAGUAGUC